RNAcentral lists this ribosomal RNA (229 nucleotides) under uncultured bacterium. RNAcentral describes it as "partial 16S ribosomal RNA". It matches the Rfam family "Bacterial small subunit ribosomal RNA", at positions 568 to 796 of the family's 1533-position model. The record is from RNAcentral.
UGUGUAGGCGGAAAUCCAAGCGUUUUGUGAAAUCCCUCGGCUUAACCGAGGAAUUGCUUGGCGAACUGGAUUUCUUGAGGCAGAUAGGGGUGUGUGGAACUCUUGGUGGAGCGGUGGAAUGCGUAGAUAUCAAGAGGAACGCCAAUGGUGAAGACAGCACACUGGGUCUGUUCUGACGCUGAGACACGAAAGCGUGGGGAGCGAACAGGAUUAGAUACCCUGGUAGUCC